This 469-nucleotide ribosomal RNA is filed under the name Capnocytophaga gingivalis. RNAcentral describes it as "bacterial SSU rRNA". It matches the Rfam family "Bacterial small subunit ribosomal RNA", at positions 28 to 498 of the family's 1533-position model. Lineage: Bacteria; Pseudomonadati; Bacteroidota; Flavobacteriia; Flavobacteriales; Flavobacteriaceae. The record is from RNAcentral.
GAUGAACGCUAGCGGCAGGCCUAACACAUGCAAGUCGAGGGAGAAGCCCUUUCGGGGGCAGAAACCGGCGCACGGGUGCGUAACGCGUAUGCAACCUACCUUUCACAGGGGGAUAGCCCGAAGAAAUUUGGAUUAAUACCCCAUAAUAUUAUUGGAUGGCAUCAUUUGAUAAUUAAAACUGCGGUGGUGAAAGAUGGGCAUGCGUCCUAUUAGCUAGUUGGAGUGGUAACGGCACCCCAAGGCUACGAUAGGUAGGGGUCCUGAGAGGGAGAUCCCCCACACUGGUACUGAGACAGGGACCAGACUCCUACGGGAGGCAGCAGUGAGGAAUAUUGGUCAAUGGUCGGAAGACUGAACCAGCCAUGCCGCGUGCAGGAAGAAUGCCUUAUGGGUUGUAAACUGCUUUUAUAUGGGAAGAAUAAGGCGUACGUGUACGUUGAUGACGGUACCAUAUGAAUAAGCAUCGGCU